Mandrillus leucophaeus (drill) is the source of this 107-nucleotide small nuclear RNA. The record is from Ensembl. NCBI's taxonomy places the organism in Eukaryota, Metazoa, Chordata, Mammalia, Primates, Cercopithecidae.
AUGCUCACUUCGGCAGCACAUAUACUAAAACUGGAACGAUACGGAGAAGAUUAGCAUGGCCCCUGUGCAAGGAUGACACGCAAAUUUGUGAAGCGUUCCAUAUUUUU